This 2094-nucleotide ribosomal RNA is filed under the name Pseudomonas aeruginosa. RNAcentral describes it as "partial 23S ribosomal RNA". It matches the Rfam family "Bacterial large subunit ribosomal RNA", at positions 1 to 2133 of the family's 2925-position model. The record is from RNAcentral. Lineage: Bacteria; Pseudomonadati; Pseudomonadota; Gammaproteobacteria; Pseudomonadales; Pseudomonadaceae.
GGUCAAGUGAAGAAGCGCAUACGGUGGAUGCCUUGGCAGUCAGAGGCGAUGAAAGACGUGGUAGCCUGCGAAAAGCUUCGGGGAGUCGGCAAACAGACUUUGAUCCGGAGAUCUCUGAAUGGGGGAACCCACCUAGGAUAACCUAGGUAUCUUGUACUGAAUCCAUAGGUGCAAGAGGCGAACCAGGGGAACUGAAACAUCUAAGUACCCUGAGGAAAAGAAAUCAACCGAGAUUCCCUUAGUAGUGGCGAGCGAACGGGGAUUAGCCCUUAAGCUUCAUUGAUUUUAGCGGAACGCUCUGGAAAGUGCGGCCAUAGUGGGUGAUAGCCCCGUACGCGAAAGGAUCUUUGAAGUGAAAUCGAGUAGGACGGAGCACGAGAAACUUUGUCUGAACAUGGGGGGACCAUCCUCCAAGGCUAAAUACUACUGACUGACCGAUAGUGAACCAGUACCGUGAGGGAAAGGCGAAAAGAACCCCGGAGAGGGGAGUGAAAUAGAACCUGAAACCGUAUGCGUACAAGCAGUGGGAGCCUACUUGUUAGGUGACUGCGUACCUUUUGUAUAAUGGGUCAGCGACUUAUAUUCAGUGGCAAGCUUAACCGUAUAGGGUAGGCGUAGCGAAAGCGAGUCUUAAUAGGGCGUUUAGUCGCUGGGUAUAGACCCGAAACCGGGCGAUCUAUCCAUGAGCAGGUUGAAGGUUAGGUAACACUGACUGGAGGACCGAACCCACUCCCGUUGAAAAGGUAGGGGAUGACUUGUGGAUCGGAGUGAAAGGCUAAUCAAGCUCGGAGAUAGCUGGUUCUCCUCGAAAGCUAUUUAGGUAGCGCCUCAUGUAUCACUCUGGGGGGUAGAGCACUGUUUCGGCUAGGGGGUCAUCCCGACUUACCAAACCGAUGCAAACUCCGAAUACCCAGAAGUGCCGAGCAUGGGAGACACACGGCGGGUGCUAACGUCCGUCGUGAAAAGGGAAACAACCCAGACCGCCAGCUAAGGUCCCAAAGUUGUGGUUAAGUGGUAAACGAUGUGGGAAGGCUUAGACAGCUAGGAGGUUGGCUUAGAAGCAGCCACCCUUUAAAGAAAGCGUAAUAGCUCACUAGUCGAGUCGGCCUGCGCGGAAGAUGUAACGGGGCUCAAACCACACACCGAAGCUGCGGGUGUCACGUAAGUGACGCGGUAGAGGAGCGUUCUGUAAGCCUGUGAAGGUGAGUUGAGAAGCUUGCUGGAGGUAUCAGAAGUGCGAAUGCUGACAUGAGUAACGACAAUGGGUGUGAAAAACACCCACGCCGAAAGACCAAGGGUUCCUGCGCAACGUUAAUCGACGCAGGGUUAGUCGGUUCCUAAGGCGAGGCUGAAAAGCGUAGUCGAUGGGAAACAGGUUAAUAUUCCUGUACUUCUGGUUACUGCGAUGGAGGGACGGAGAAGGCUAGGCCAGCUUGGCGUUGGUUGUCCAAGUUUAAGGUGGUAGGCUGAAAUCUUAGGUAAAUCCGGGGUUUCAAGGCCGAGAGCUGAUGACGAGUCGUCUUUUAGAUGACGAAGUGGUUGAUGCCAUGCUUCCAAGAAAAGCUUCUAAGCUUCAGGUAACCAGGAACCGUACCCCAAACCGACACAGGUGGUCGGGUAGAGAAUACCAAGGCGCUUGAGAGAACUCGGGUGAAGGAACUAGGCAAAAUGGCACCGUAACUUCGGGAGAAGGUGCGCCGGCUAGGGUGAAGGAUUUACUCCGUAAGCUCUGGCUGGUCGAAGAUACCAGGCCGCUGCGACUGUUUAUUAAAAACACAGCACUCUGCAAACACGAAAGUGGACGUAUAGGGUGUGACGCCUGCCCGGUGCCGGAAGGUUAAUUGAUGGGGUUAGCGCAAGCGAAGCUCUUGAUCGAAGCCCCGGUAAACGGCGGCCGUAACUAUAACGGUCCUAAGGUAGCGAAAUUCCUUGUCGGGUAAGUUCCGACCUGCACGAAUGGCGUAACGAUGGCGGCGCUGUCUCCACCCGAGACUCAGUGAAAUUGAAAUCGCUGUGAAGAUGCAGUGUAUCCGCGGCUAGACGGAAAGACCCCGUGAACCUUUACUGUAGCUUUGCACUGGACUUUGAGCCUGC